GUCGGUACCAAAUAGUGGGGGUGCUGAUGGAAGCACACCCGCUGGCAUUUUUGGCAGCCGAUAUCUAUCGGGGUGGUAUCGUGCUGCUUCUUUCUCUAGCUCUGCUUCCUUGCUAGAGUCUAAAAUCUCAGAGUCUGAGCUGCUCAGCUCCAAGGCUUCCAGUUUCGUUGCAGGGCAGAGGCUAGAUUUUAGACUCUAGCAAGGAAGCAGAGCUAGAGAAAGAAGCAGCACGAUACCACCCCGAUAGAUAUCGGCUGCCAAAAAUGCCAGCGGGUGUGCUUCCAUCAGCACCCCCACUAUUUGGUACCGACUCCUUUUUACCAUCAAAGGAGCGGAAAAAAUUACAGAUGGCUUUCCCAGUCUUUGAUAGGGGAAAAGGCCGUGCAUGUUAUUCAACACUGCUUGGAGGCCUGGGAUGCCUGGAAAAAGCCUCAUAUCCUAAAGUUGCUCAAGUAAUUUAUGUAUGCUUGUUUUAAAAUGUUCUAUUUCCUGGUACGGCCAUUUUGUAGCUGGUCACAUGACUGACGGUAGCCAUUUUGCUAAAGUUAAAAAAAGGAUACUUAAACCGCCAUCUUGACUAAAGGUGACCACAUGGAAAUCAGAGGUACCAUCUUAGAAACAAGUUUUUCAGUUAAGAUUUAAAAUGUUAAUGCUUCUAUAUAUUACAGAAAGACCUUAAGGGAAUUUAAAUUUCUUUUUAAAACCAGUUUUUCAAAUGUUUGAUUUUAUUAAUGUUUAUACUUAAAGAGCUUCAAUUUAGAAUUUUUAAGCAAAGCCUGACAAUGUAAAGUUCUUGUUUUGUAAAAGAUGCUAAUCUAUUAUGUUGGUAGCACACACCUUUAAGCUCAGGGUGUUGGUGACACACGCCUUUAAGUUGAGGGCGUUGGCGGCAUACGCCUUUAAUCCCAGCACUCGGGAGUAAGAGACAGAUGGAUCUUUAUGAGUUCAAGGCCUGCCUGGUCCGGCAGAUCGAAUUCCAGGACAGGCUCCAAAGUCAGAGAAAAACCCUGCCUCAGAAAGAAGUUAAGCUACUGUUUAAGGAAGUUCAGCUGUAUUACAGAAAUAAGACUUUACCUAGCCACCUAUGUGCUUCUUAAAAACAGAUAAUGGGCCGGCUUAUACCUCUCAAAAGUUCCAGCACUUCUACAGAUGGAAAUUACCCAUCUAACUGGCCUACCUUAUACAAGGCAUUAUGGAACGUGCCCAUCGCACACUUAAGUCUUAUUUAAUCAAACAAAAGGAGGGAAUGGGAGCAUCCUUACCCUCGGUGCCAAGAGUUACAAUAUCCAUGGCACUCUUUACCCUUAAUUUUCUAAACACCGACGCUCAGGGCCAUACAGCGGCCAAGCGUCAUACCUCAGA
This 1362-nucleotide long non-coding RNA is filed under the name Cricetulus griseus (Chinese hamster). Its description in RNAcentral is "lncRNA (ENSCGRG00015042640.1)". The record is from RNAcentral. Lineage: Eukaryota; Metazoa; Chordata; Mammalia; Rodentia; Cricetidae.